This 502-nucleotide ribosomal RNA is filed under the name uncultured bacterium. Its description in RNAcentral is "partial 16S ribosomal RNA". It matches the Rfam family "Bacterial small subunit ribosomal RNA", at positions 28 to 507 of the family's 1533-position model. The record is from RNAcentral.
GACGAACGCUGGCGGCGUGCUUAACACAUGCAAGUCGAACGGUGAAGGGGUCUGCUUUUGUGGGCCCUGGAUGAGUGGCGAACGGGUGAGUAACACGUGAGUAACCUGCCCCCUUCUUCUGGAUAACCGCAUGAAAGUGUGGCUAAUACGGGAUAUUCUGGGUCUGUCGCAUGAUGGGUCUGGGAAAGAUUGCGCCAUUGGGUGUUAUUGGUGGGGGAUGGGCUCGCGGCCUAUCAGCUUGUUGGUGGGGUGAUGGCCUACCAAGGCGGUGACGGGUGGCCGGCCUGGGAGGGUGGCCGGUCACACUGUGACUGAGACCCGGCCCAGACUCCGACGGGAGGCAGCAGUGGGGAAUAUUGCACGAUGGGCGCCAGCCUGAUGCAGCGACGCCGCGUGAGGGAGGGCGGCCUUCGGGUUGUACACCUCUUUCGCCAGUGAAGCAGGCCUGCUCCUUGUGGGUGGGUUGACGGUAGCUGGAUAAGAAGCGCCGGCUAACUACGUG